AUGCCCACACAUGUAGGUGUACGGUGUUAAAAGUCCAAGCAGAGUUUUGAGUGUGCCUGUGUGUUUCCACUCCGACUAUGUGACUGUCACCACCAUUUGCUCUAGGGCAGAAAGACCAAUAGACAGAGACGGCUGCCAGCUUAGACUUUAGUGUGCCUGCUUGGCUCUGUCCAGCGUGACCUGGUGUGACCACCCUUUCUAGGUAAAGAGGAUUCUGCCUGCAUUGGACAAUAAAUCCUCAGGCUGCCUGUGGAUGACUCUAAGUCAACAGGAUGGUAGAGGUUUUAGGACUUAAUAUCACCAGGCAAGGGCCAGUGCUGAUCCGUCAGAGUGAAUCCAGAUUUUGACGAGAGAUCUACGUGUCACUAAUACAGGCAGGCUUCUGGCUGCUGUGCCUGUGGUAGAUGGAUCGAGCUAAGUGAUCGUGGGGUUACUCUCCUGGCACAUCAUUUCUACUCUCCGACAAAAUCCACCCGUCUAAGUUCCUCUCCCUGAAGGCUACAAAACCAGAAAGGCUUGGCUGAAUCUGUUUCGAAACACAAAUCCAGGAUUAGAGAAGAACUCUACUGUUUGGAAUAGUGGUGGACUCGAUUCUUUGGAAUAUCUUGGUGAGUGAAAUGAAGUCACCAGCAAUAUUUUCUCCACACUGGUCACCGUGGGAACCGAAAGCAGUGAAGCCCAGUGGACUGACAACUGAGACGAUGCAGAUGCCACAGUAUGGGGGUCUAGGGGGCCAUCCUAAGAUGGGUAACACUUUGCUCAGAAGCUGGGACACCUACUGCUUCCUGCCCAGAUACAUCCCUAAGUAAGGUGCUCAUUUCAACCCCUGUACACAAUUUAAAUUCUAUACCAUAAUAUAAGGAACGAGAAGCAUGAUUACUGCCUUUUAGAGGCCCCUCUAAAUACCACAGCAGAACCAGCCAGAUAGACAAAUCAUUUCACAAAAGAAACGCAGUAAAUGACAAAUAGGAAAUCAAAAGGGCCCAGGGUCUGACUGGGACAGAGAACACUACCACCAGCCUUUGUGGAUGUGAUUAUGGGUUCUGAUUCCCAUUGUCUAAUCAAGGCUGAAGUGGCCCCUUGGAAGCAGUGCCCAAGCGACACAGCUGAUUUCAAAUGGACUUGUUCCCAACAUGGACUUGGUACAAGUCGUGAGAUCUAAAGUCAGAGUUUGAAACAUAAACCUGUCUCUCUAAAGCCAAGCUUCUCGUUGAACCUAAGGGUUUUCCAUGGGUACCAAGUAAAGCACGGGGCUGGGGACAACCAAAUGUUGGUUGCAAAUAUGGUUAUUUUGCAAAUAUGUUAUUUUCUGAGUGUCGAUGUAUAUUCAUAUACACUGUUUGACAUUCAUUCUAUGCAGGGUUGCAUGGCCAUUAUCCUGAAAUGGGUCUUACAGGUGAUUCAAAUGGUUUUCAAGGAGGAUUUUGGCUCCCCUUACUUUUUGUGUUAAGAUACAUUUCAGUGUCCAGACCAGUGUCCAGCAUGGGACAUACUGAGAAAACAAGAACAUAGAUGUUGUCCAGCACCCAAGUACUGAUCCAGACCUGCUUGUUAAUACAGUGGUAUCUCUUCUGGGAUAAAGACAAGAGAUAAGUGUGUGUAGCCCCGAGCGUGUGAGCUUAGCAACUCAGAACUAGGAGAACGUAUUUCCAAGUUUGUAUUCACAUGGGAAAAUUUAUACGUAUUAGCUUGGAUGCGGAUGGCUUUCCUGUCUGUGUUUCUCUAUGUAGCCAGAAAAACCUUCUGGACUUGUUUCUAUUCCAAGAGGCUGCAUGAAUGGUAAAACAUACAGAUGCCAACUUGAGUCAUAUAGAAGGGAACACGUGUUUUCGGGACAUACUAAAAUAGCACAGUAAAAUCGGGCAGGUGUUUGAUCAGGGAAUACGAAACCGUCUUCUCCAAAGACUCUGGAGGUUUUUUUUACUUGAAUGUUUUCAGCAAAAUAAACGGUUACUAGGAAAACAUGCUGUAAACGUAAGAAGGGUCUGCUGGCUUGAAAUGUGGCUGGCUGAUUUCUCCUUCCUUUGUAAUCCCAUUAAGCUCGGUAGCAAAACUCAGCCCUCCUGGCAGCUCUUCUCACCCGCAGCUGCCGGCAGAAAGUGCUCAGUGCCCAGAGUAAAGUCUUCAUUGGUUAAUGACCCUUGACCUUUCAUAGGUGGUGUCUUCCGUGGCAACACUUAGCUUGGAGGCUCCUACAUGAUAUACAGACUGACCAAGAGACAGCAUGGAAUUUCGUUGGAGUCCAAGGCUGGCGUGAUAAAAGGGAAUUACACACCCAAAGAUGUCUAUUCUGGAUUGACUCAACUGUUGAGUUAAUUUUUUUUUUAUUUAGGAUAUAGUGAUUUCUAAUUUGUACUGAUAACAAUCUAUUAGAGUUCUAACUGAUCUUGGUUGUCCAGACAGAAGGCAAGCAAAAUUUAAAAGAUGAUUUUUGCUACUUUUGGGUCUUGUUUCUAAGAACUUUGAAUGUGGCUUUUAAAACAUCAUUAAUACUGCGUACGGGCUGAAGCAUUUAAUGCCUCAUUUAUAGAUCAUUCUUUCUAUUCAGCUAGCAAAAAUCUCCCUGAAUUUUGGCAGUUUGUCUCCAUUAAUUUCAAAUAAACAUUUUAACCACGGACUCAAUAGCACUGAGUGUGUGCUCGGACCCCACUCUCCAGCCAUUUGCAGGUUAGAUUGUUCCUAAAAUGGGCCAGACCCUUCUCUGGGCGGAAGAGGGAGAAAUGUGAGUGAAAGUGGUGGUGGGGGGAUACUAAUGAAGAAAGAAUGAAAAGUUUUACGUUUAUGAAGCCUUUUAUUGUCCGAAAUGUUGGGGGGGGGGAAACAAGUCAAACAUGAUCCUCCUCCUUGCUCUCACUCUUUAUUUCCCCACCAGGCCCCAGUCUCCCC
RNAcentral lists this small RNA (2886 nucleotides) under Rattus norvegicus (Norway rat). RNAcentral describes it as "uncharacterized LOC102555623". Lineage: Eukaryota; Metazoa; Chordata; Mammalia; Rodentia; Muridae. The record is from RNAcentral.